Phrynosoma platyrhinos (Desert horned lizard) is the source of this 71-nucleotide non-coding RNA. The record is from the annotation of a GenBank genome assembly. Lineage: Eukaryota; Metazoa; Chordata; Lepidosauria; Squamata; Phrynosomatidae.
GCCAGCGUGGUGUAGUGGUUUGAGCUUUUGACUAUGGCUCUGGAGGUCAGGGUUAAAUUCUCUGCUUGGCC